Molecule: ribosomal RNA, 351 nt
Filed under: Triticum aestivum (bread wheat)
Lineage: Eukaryota; Viridiplantae; Streptophyta; Magnoliopsida; Poales; Poaceae
Description: partial small subunit ribosomal RNA
Source: RNAcentral
AUGAGUCACCUCUUUUGGAACUGCCGGGGGGGGAACCGCCGGACAGUUCGUGAAGUUGGGGCUCUUGUAAAAGCCCAUUCCCCAAGCUUGGUCUUUCUCGCUGAAACAAGACAGACAAGUGUUAAAGUUGAAAGAAUGAAGUGGAAAUUAGGUCUCAAAGGAUUCUGCGGGGUGGAUUGUGAGGGCCGAGGCGGUGGACUAGAGCUGUUUUGGGAUGAAUCCCUCUGGGUGACAGUGCUGGAUUCCUGUAAAAGAUACAUCGAUGUGAAUGUUGAGGAUCAAGGUUCCGGGAAAACUUGGAGGUCCACCUUUGUCUAUGGGGAACCACGUGUGGAACAUCGGCAGCGCAUG